UUGUCCUACCAAAAAAGACGCUGGAAGGUCAUCGGCCGAUUCAAUGCCCAGUGGAAAAAUGCUCAACGUUCGUCCGGAGUCCUCCGAAGGCAUCGAUGCUGAGGAUUCCACUUUUGUUACCUGUUUUCUUUUCAUUCGUUUUUAUUUUUUGGUUUUCACUCCGAAACAGUGUGAUGGUUAUUUUUUAUUCUUUAUAAGCUGAGAUGGAGAUGAAGCGAUAUCGAACGAGCCGACAGAAAGCGAAUUGAGACAUUUCUUAUCAGAAUGUUCCUAUUUCGCCUCCAGUCAAUCCGGUGAAAAAGAUUGCAUCGUAACCGGAAACUUUUCGUGAUUAUUACAUGAAAAUUGGUUUGUGCAUCAAACGCUGCCAGCUGCCUAUAUCAUUUGGACUUUGGUGAAGUGAUGCAGAAUUUGAAUCGAGGAUCAUCGUCAUCGAGUCAUUCGUUUGCCCGAAAGAACUCGGCUCCAUAUCUCGGCGCAACAACUCACACAUUUCGCCUAGGAGCAACUUGCCAACUUACUAUUUCACGCCCGCCUUUUGAAGAUCGAGUGAAGUCUAAACCUUCACACAACGGGGAGGAUUUCAAUUUGGAUUCGUCGCAGGGGUCGCCAAUCUACCGAUAAUGCAUUGGAAACGAAGAUAAAUUUUAUGUUUUUUUGUUUAAUCAUGGUAGCA
Daphnia pulex (common water flea) is the source of this 676-nucleotide long non-coding RNA. RefSeq lists it as uncharacterized. The transcript is spliced from 3 exons. The record is from RefSeq and is a predicted model, not a curated record. Lineage: Eukaryota; Metazoa; Arthropoda; Branchiopoda; Diplostraca; Daphniidae.